AUCACCUAGGGGUCACGUUAAAAUGCAGAAUCCAACUCAGUAGAUCUGUGGUGGGGGCCCAGAUUCUGCAUUUCUAACAAGCUCUCAGGUGGUGCUGA
This 98-nucleotide microRNA precursor is filed under the name Loxodonta africana (African savanna elephant). Its description in RNAcentral is "mir-544 microRNA precursor family". It matches the Rfam family "mir-544 microRNA precursor family". The record is from Rfam by way of RNAcentral. Lineage: Eukaryota; Metazoa; Chordata; Mammalia; Proboscidea; Elephantidae.